AUGCAACUAGGAUUAGCCAGUUGUGUCCACCAACUGCACAAGCUUCCACUAGUUUUCCUAUCCACCUUCCAUUCAAAGCAGUUGCAUCACCAGCCAAAUAGGGCCUGCAACCAUCAAAAACCCCUGCCAACAAGCCUUGAAACAAAAAAAAGCCCUCCUGAAGCACUCCUUCUGAAACAACUUCCCUUUUAUUUUGUAUGUAACUGUAUGCUUGUCAAUCUCUACAACACUCCCUGGACUAGCAACUUGCACUUCAGAUUUAAAUGUGUAGAACAACUGAAAGCUCUCAUUCCAAGGACUAUUAAUCCUAUCAGGAGUCAUUUCCUUAGCAUAGAAAAACCUCAUCUAAGGUAUAUCAUUCUAGUACUUCUCAAAUAG
This 378-nucleotide ribosomal RNA is filed under the name Triticum aestivum (bread wheat). Its description in RNAcentral is "partial small subunit ribosomal RNA". Lineage: Eukaryota; Viridiplantae; Streptophyta; Magnoliopsida; Poales; Poaceae. The record is from RNAcentral.